RNAcentral lists this transfer RNA (72 nucleotides) under Bos taurus (domestic cattle). It matches the Rfam family "tRNA". Rfam says of the family: Transfer RNA (tRNA) molecules are approximately 80 nucleotides in length. Their secondary structure includes four short double-helical elements and three loops (D, anti-codon, and T loops). Lineage: Eukaryota; Metazoa; Chordata; Mammalia; Artiodactyla; Bovidae. The record is from Rfam by way of RNAcentral. RNAcentral also lists the same sequence under 2 other names.
UCCCUGAUAGCUCAGUUGGUAAAGAAUCUGUCUGCAAUGCAGGAUACCUGGGUUCGAUCCCUGGGUUGGGAA